GGAGUCUGGGCCGUGUCUCAGUCCCAAUGUGGCCGUUCAACCUCUCAGUCCGGCUACUGAUCGUCGGCUUGGUGAGCCGUUACCUCACCAACUACCUAAUCAGACGCGAGCCCAUCUCUGAGCGAUAAAUCUUUGAUAUACAGAAGAUGUCUUCCGUAUAUGUUAUGAGGUAUUACCAUCCGUUUCCAGAAGCUAUCCCUCUCUCAGAGGCAGGUUGCUCACGUGUUACUCACCCGUCCGCCACUAAGAACUCUCAGUAAACUAAAAGUUCUCCGUUCGACUUGCAUGUGUUAAGCGUGCCGCCAGCGUUCGUCCUCGAGCCAUGAUCAAACUCU
RNAcentral lists this ribosomal RNA (335 nucleotides) under Ruminococcus flavefaciens. RNAcentral describes it as "partial 16S ribosomal RNA". The record is from RNAcentral. Lineage: Bacteria; Bacillati; Bacillota; Clostridia; Eubacteriales; Oscillospiraceae.